UACAGAGGGGGCAAGCGUUAUUCGGAAUUAUUGGGCGUAAAGGGCGCGUAGGCGGCUUGGCAAGUGGAAGGUGAAAUCCCUCGGCUUAACCGAGGAACUGCCCUCCAAACUGCUUGGCUUGAGACCGGGAGAGGUGAGUGGAAUUCCCAGUGUAGCGGUGAAAUGCGUAGAUAUUGGGAGGAACACCAGUGGCGAAGGCGGCUCACUGGACCGGUACUGACGCUGAGGCGCGAAAGCGUGGGGGGCAAACAGG
RNAcentral lists this ribosomal RNA (253 nucleotides) under uncultured bacterium. RNAcentral describes it as "partial 16S ribosomal RNA". It matches the Rfam family "Bacterial small subunit ribosomal RNA", at positions 524 to 776 of the family's 1533-position model. The record is from RNAcentral.